CCUACGGGAGGCAGCAGUGGGGAAUAUUGGGCAAUGGGGGCAACCCUGACCCAGCGACGCCGCGUGAAGGAAGAAGGCUUUCGGUUUGUAAACUUCUUUCCGCAGGGACGAAGCAAGUGACGGUACCUGACGAAGAAGCCCCGGCUAACUACGUGCCAGCAGCCGCGGUAAUACGUAGGUGGCAAGCGUUAUCCGGAUUUACUGGGUGUAAAGGGCGGGUAGGCGGGAAAGCAAGUCAGAUGUGAAAACCGGGGGCUCAACCUGUGGCCUGCUUUUGAAACUGUUUUGCUUGAGUACUGGAGAGGCAGGCGGAAUUCCUAGUGUAGCGGUGAAAUGCGUAGAUAUUAGGAGGAACACCAGUGGCGAAGGCGGUCUGCUGGACAGCAACUGACGCUGAGGCGCGAAAGCGUGGGGAGCAAACAGGAUUAGAUACCCGGGUAGUC
RNAcentral lists this ribosomal RNA (443 nucleotides) under uncultured bacterium. Its description in RNAcentral is "partial 16S ribosomal RNA". It matches the Rfam family "Bacterial small subunit ribosomal RNA", at positions 338 to 795 of the family's 1533-position model. The record is from RNAcentral.